GACCUUACUGCAGAGGCAAAGGGAGAAAAAGGAAAGGGCGAGGCUGAAGGCUAACUUGAGGCGCCAAGCUAACACCGUCCUGCAGCGCCUCCAGCAGCAACAAGAGAUCUGGACGUACCACUAAGGGAGGCUGAGGAACUACUGGCGGAGGUGAAGUCGGCGGGUGUGGGUGGGCGUCUGCUGUGCCGCCUGCUGGUGGGCGUGGGCGUGGCGUUGCCCAGCUGUGGCCGGCACGACGACGCAAUAGCUGUGUUGACUGAUGCUGUACAUAUAGCGCGAGCCAACGAGUACGAAGAGGAGGAGCACGUAGGGGUAGAGGCGCUGGGCAGGACGCUGGCUAAGAGAGGACAACAUGCCGAGGCUGUGUCAGUGUGGGAACGUCGCAUCCCAGCUACCAGGAACAGCCGCCAGAGGGCCUCACUCUUCCUCCUCAUCGCCAAGUCCUAUUUUGCCAUGCGGAAGGUGGAAACAGGGAGGUUCUACGGUACCAAGAGUGUUAAGGAGGCGGAUGAUGGAGAAGACACACGUACGGCCCUGUCAGCUCUUCUCACCCUAGUCGAAGCUGACGCUCGACAGGAUAACGCAGAAGGAGCCCUGAAGACCCUAGAGAAGUGCAGUCCUCACCUGGCCUCCGCCCCUCCACACCUGCUGGAGGAAUACAACAACCUCAGGAAGCAGCUCUGUAAGGAGGAGCCUUCUUCUUAGUGAGGAGGAGGAGCAGUAGGAAGAGUAGGGG
Molecule: long non-coding RNA, 736 nt
Organism: Homarus americanus (American lobster)
Lineage: Eukaryota; Metazoa; Arthropoda; Malacostraca; Decapoda; Nephropidae
Exons: 5
Source: RefSeq, a predicted model, not a curated record